Molecule: transfer RNA, 71 nt
Filed under: Candidatus Pacearchaeota archaeon
Lineage: Archaea; Nanobdellati
Description: tRNA-Trp
Rfam family: tRNA
About the family: Transfer RNA (tRNA) molecules are approximately 80 nucleotides in length.
Source: RNAcentral
GGGUCCAUAUUUAAAUGGCAUAAUUUUCGGCUCCAGACCGAAAGUCGAGGGUUCGAUUCCCUCUGGGCCCA